UUCAGUUAAACUGGAAACUUCUGCUAGCUGAAAAAACCUUCAGUUUAAAUUUCCAAAAUAGGGUAUAUAUCAGAGAGUAUAUAGUAGAAGGUUUGAAUGAUCAAGAGAUCUGUGAAAAGAAAGAGCCAACCAAAAAGAAGGUUUUUAACAAAUAUAAAUAGAAAGCAUUCUUAAUUCUUCACACAACAAAAAAGUAAAGAAAACAAUCUCUUAAAGAAAUUUAUAUAGGAAGAAGAAGAGUCAAAAGAAGAAGAGGAAUUGAGUAGAAUCCACGAUCAUGUUUGGGGAAAAUAAGAAAAAAGGUGACAGAGAAACGUACGAAGAGGAAGAAGGUCUCCACUCUCCAGUAUUGGUGGUGCUGAUGAACACCGUCUUUGGUUUCUUGCGCGUUAUUUAUUUGUUUAUUUAUUCCAGCUUUCCUCUUAGCUGCUCCAUUUAUUUAAUUCAUUUUGAAUUUCCAGAAUUUAUUUUGAUUUCCCAAAAAUCAAAAUUGAAAUAGGUAUAUGAAGUGAAAGGGGAAAAGCGGAGAAGUGGGGUCCAGUUAUUGGUUAGUUCCUCGUGG
This 562-nucleotide long non-coding RNA is filed under the name Nicotiana tabacum (common tobacco). RNAcentral's name for it is "long non-coding RNA (NTAB_LNC016062)". The record is from RNAcentral. Lineage: Eukaryota; Viridiplantae; Streptophyta; Magnoliopsida; Solanales; Solanaceae.